GACGAACGCUGGCGGCGUGCUUAACACAUGCAAGUCGAACGAAGUGGCGAACGGGUGAGUAAUGCGUAAUCAACCUGCCCUUCAGAGGGGGACAACAGUUGGAAACGACUGCUAAUACCGCAUACUGAAGGAGGGGAUUGCGUUGGUGUAGCUAGUUGGAGGGGUAACGGCCCACCAAGGCGAUGAUCAGUAGCCGGGCUGAGAGGAUGAACGGCCACAUUGGGACUGAGACACGGCCCAGACUCCUACGGGAAGCAGCAGUGGGGAAUCUGCCGCAAUGGGCGAAAGUCUGACGGAGCAAAGCCGCGUGAGUGAUGACGGCCUUCGGGUUGUAAAGCUCUGUUAAUCGGGACGCGGUACCGGAAUAGAAAGCCACGGCUAACUACGUGCCAGCAGCCGCGGUAAUUC
Molecule: ribosomal RNA, 408 nt
Filed under: uncultured bacterium
Lineage: Bacteria
Description: partial 16S ribosomal RNA
Rfam family: Bacterial small subunit ribosomal RNA
Source: RNAcentral